RNAcentral lists this ribosomal RNA (465 nucleotides) under uncultured bacterium. RNAcentral's name for it is "partial 16S ribosomal RNA". It matches the Rfam family "Bacterial small subunit ribosomal RNA", at positions 338 to 795 of the family's 1533-position model. The record is from RNAcentral.
CCUACGGGUGGCAGCAGUGGGGAAUUUUCGACAAUGGGCGCAAGCCUGAUCCAGCUAUUCCGCGUGUGGGAUGACGGCCCUCGGGUUGUAAACCUCUUUAGUAGAGAACGAAAGACGGCUAUCGAAUAAGUCGCUCUGCUGACGGUACUCUAUGAGUCAGCACCGGCUAACUACGUGCCAGCAGCCGCGGUAAUACGUAGGGGGCGAGCGUUAUCCGGAAUUAUUGGGCGUAAAGAGUGUGCAGGCGGCUGCAUAGGACUGUUGUGAAAGACUCGGGCUUAACCUGGGAACCGCAUAUGUGACUGAUAGGCUGGAGUGCGUCAGAGGGAGGUGGAAUUCUACGUGUAGGAGUGAAAUGCGUAGAGAUGUAGAAGAAUACUGAUGGCGAAGGCGACCUGCUGGAACGCAACUGACGCUCAUACACGAAAGCGUGGGGAGCAAACAGGAUUAGAUACCCGGGUAGUC